Non-coding RNA from Oryzias latipes (Japanese medaka), 5268 nucleotides. The record is from RefSeq and is a predicted model, not a curated record. NCBI's taxonomy places the organism in Eukaryota, Metazoa, Chordata, Actinopteri, Beloniformes, Adrianichthyidae.
UGUGCACACUCUCAUUGGUGCCCUUUGUUUAGUUACGAGGCGUGAAACGUCGGUGAAAAUCGCGCGCGAAAUUAGUCCCGGUGUGUACGGGCCUUAAGGUUGUUCUCAGUCGUUAAAAAAUCUUAAAGCUUCCCAGCCAGUAAGACCAAGUGGACCUAUAUAGUUUAAAAGUCGGCAGAAAGUGUGGGCCCCAGAUGUGUCUGUCCACAGUUACCAUGGUGGCCCCACCUGUGUUUGUCCACAUUGGCUUCAGUGGACAGCUCAGUUGUCCACCGGGCAGCUGGCUAGCGUAGCGGGAGGGGAAGCGACUGAUGAGGCUGGUGGGACACCAAAAAAAGGAAAGGUGGCGGCGGUCACUGCAACACCUGCAGUGGACUUUGAACCUUACGCUCCGAUCAAGAUCGCAGAUGGAAACCCCGCCUCGUUCGAUCCUGCGGGGGACAUGGAUUGCGUUCGGAGGGCAGUGGGUGUCAGGGCACAAGAAGCAGGAGAGGAGAAUGAAGCCUCCUCUGUCCAGGUUCAAUCUGCAGACAGAAAGACUUCAACACCUCUAGAAGUAGCACAGAGGCCCUUGGUUCCAGAACCUGUGCAACCUCAGAACGACCCACUCUCUAAGACAAGCAUGAUGACCAUUUCUGAAACAGAGUUUUAUGGAAUGUUGACACAGAAAGAGGAAAAUGCUGCUGCACUUCAACAGGAGAAUUCUGCCCUCAAGUUGGAAGUAAUGCGUCUCAAGAAACUCCUUCAGCAGAAAAACGCGGUCCUAUCAGAUACUACUGGGAAAGCUGACCAAAUUGGAAAAGAGUCCACUGGAGAACCUUGGUAGAACAAGCUAAUAGCUACCCGAUCCAGAUGCAGCAAAAAAAGAGUCAAACUGAAGCUGCGUUGACUCAAUGUCAGAGACUGUCAAAGGAGAAGGAGGAGGAACACUUUAAAGAAACCACAACUUUAAUGUAGAACAGCUCAAACAUAAGCUCCAGGUUGAACAGUCUCUCAUGGAAAAAGAGAAGACGUUGAUCUACAAAGGACUCCAUGAGAAGACUCGUGAAAAUUCAGAACUCACCCAAAAAAAUCCACCAGCUGGAAACAAUCCAGGAGACCUUCAGAGAAACAGCACAGCAGGAAAGACUGCAAUGGCAGAAAGAGAAGUCCUCUUUUCUCCAAGAAAUGUCUCAAUUAAAAAAAACUUCUCCAGGAAAAGGAAGUCAAAAUUAGAAAGUCUGUAGAGGACCACAAAAAGAUGCUUGACCAACUACAUCAGGAGAUGUACAAGCUAAAAGAAAAGAAGAAGGAAAACUCAAACCUCACCAGCAAACUGAGGAACCUGGAAACAUCUCUGUUGACAGGGAAGGCAAAGACCAAUGAAGCUGAAAAACAGCAGGGAGAGGACAAACACAAGUGGGACGAGGAAAAGUCCUCCCUUCUCCAAGAAACCUCUCAUCUAAAAGAGGUUAUCCAGAGAAAGGAGGACAGACUCAACCAUUUCAUGUCAUAGCUUGAACAACUCCAGGAGGAGGUGAACAAGGUCUAAGAAAAAAAUAGACAAAAAUCACACAGAGGUUUUCUAAUUUUUUUUCAAAAGGUCCAGAAAAAAGAUUAGGAACACACCACAUUCCUUAUCCUUAGUGUAACCGGCAGGUAUGCCUGUGACAGGUGCAUGCCUGCUUGAUUGGGGAUGUAGUUCAGCUGUGUCUGCCCCUUUAUAAGGAACAGGGAGUGAGUUGACAGACAGUUGCUGCCUGCCUGUCUGGUGAUGCUGUAAGCGGCUGGACGUGGCGCACAUGUCAUGAGCCACUGCGUGUUCUUUACCAACCCUUUUUUUACAUUUUAAUGUGUUUUAGAGUGGUCUUGUAUUUGUUGUGUGGUUGACUCUGAUUUCUUUUUACUGUUGCGUAGGUCUGAGUCGGGCGCCGGUGUGUGUGGUGUUGGUGAGGGGGGCCCCUUGUGGCAGCAUCGUCCUCACUCCAGUUCCCUCACUGUAUUUGUUUAUUUCCCUUUUAGUGUGUAGUGGAAGUUUCUUUUGCAUGUUUUUAUUAUUGUGUGUGUCGCUUUUGUUUUCAGCAUGGAGUGGAGUGAGGUGUGCUGCCGCGUACUGGCUUGGUCCACGGCCUCUCUCUUCCCUCCCCUCCUGCACGGGCGGUCGGCUCGGCCUUCCUGUUUUUAUUCUUGCCUCUCCCUUUUAUUGUUUUAUCUGUGUACUGCUGAUCGGAGUAAAACUGCACUUUUCGAUUUUUUUUUUUUUUUCAUUAAAUCUAAUUUUUAUAAGCUUUUAUUGUCUCAGCCAUUUUUGUUUUGGUGGCUCCACUCUGCACUGACGGUACCUUGGUCACAUUUCUGGUGUUGUCGGCAGGAUCUAAUUUCCGUUGUUGCAGUUGUGGUAACCAAAUUGGGCUGAUUUCUUUUUUUUUUUUUGGGUAGAACACAAGGUGUGCUCCUUCGGACCCCCCCAUUCCUGUGGUCACCAUUACCUGGGUUCAACGUCCACUGGUUGGAAGGCCUCCAUCCUCCACCAAUGGCUGAUGAGGAAGCACCACGAUCCCUGGAUAAUCUGUGUGCUCAGGUUGACCGAACACCAGAUAAAGAGGCUUCUGGUAGAGCCUUUGGUGGUUGUAACGAGCCAUUGGAUCGGCUGGUAUAUAUCCCGAGCAAGCGAAAAUGCCCACAUUUCCAGGGAAGGACUGGGGUUCCGGUUGAGGAUUGGGUGGAGGAGAUGAGGGCAACAUUACGAACCAGACGAUUGCAUCCUGUUGACCAGGCCUAUUUUAUUUAUGCUCAUCUAGAAGGUGAAGCCAGGGAUGAAAUUAGAUAUAGGCCACGAGCUGACAGGGAGGACCCAGAGAAAAUUUUGGAAAUACUACAGGAUAUGUAUGGGUGUUCUAAAUCAUACAUUUCAUUGCAACAAAUGUUUUUUCCCAGGCAGCAGCAGGAGGGUGAAUCACUGCGGGAAUUUUCCCAUGCUUUGUGUUGCAUUAUGGAGAAGGUUGAACGGUGUGCACCACGAAGGAUGUUGGAUGCCUCUAGGUUGCUUCGAGACCAGUUCGUGGAGAAUGUUAGAUCCCAACCUACGCUGGGACCUGAAACGCUCUGCAGGCGGCCUCUCAACCCCCAACUAGCCAUUGGCAGUCCAGUGUGGUGUGUCGGCGUUGUCAAAGACCUGGUCACUAUGCUCGUGAGAAUGACAGUGUCCCCACCCAGCCAAGAGCCUCCCUUUCUGUGGCAGCUCAGGAGGCGGGAAACUUCCACCAUCUGAUGUGAGGGGCCAAACAUCAGGUGGAGAGAGUGCUGGCUCCCAGGGCCGGGGUUCAAACGUGCCCCCAGGCAAGUCAAAUCUUGUGGCACAAUGCCUUACAGUAGUUGUUAAAUUAGUAGGGGUGGUCGCUAACCUUCUCCUUGACACAGGCUCAAUGGUAACCACCAUAUCUGAAAGCUUCUUUAAUCAAUCUUUGCAGCAGGUUAUUAGACCUUGCAAUUGGCUGGCGUUAACUGCUGCAAAUGGGUUUGAAAUCCCAUACCUCGGCUAUGUUGAAUUAGACGUUGUUGUUUUUGGUCAGCUCCUGCCAUAGCGGGGUCUCUUGGUUGUUAAAGACCUUGCACGACCUAAUAAGUCGUCAGAUGUUGUGGGUGUGUUAGGGAUGAAUGUUAUUAAAGAGUGUUACCAGCAGCUGUUUAACCAACAAGGACCUGCUCUCUUUGCUCUCCCUGAAGUACAGCAGACGCCCCAGUGGUAAAAAUCCUCAUCUUGUCGCUGCUUGUUGGACCAAGAGAGAAGGCUGCCUGGAGGUUCAUCUUCCGCUGAAAGCAGACAGCUCCUAAGAGACGCAAUGAGUAGAGGCCCUGACACCCGCUGCCCUCCGAACGCAAUCCACGUCCCCGCGGGAUCAAACCAGGUGGGGUUUCCAUCUGCGAUCUUGAUCGGAGCGUAGGGUUCAAAGUCCGCUGCAGUGACCGCCGCCAUCUUUCCUGUUUCUGGUGUCCCACCAGCCUCAUUGGUCGCUUCCCCUCCCGCUACGCUAGCCAGCUGCCCGAUGGACAACUGAGCUGUCCACUGAAGCCAAUGUAGACAAACACUGGUGGGGCCACCAUGGAAGCUGUGGACAGACACAUCUGGGGCCCACAAUUUCUGCCCACUUUUAAACUAUAUAGGCCCACUUGGUCUUGCUGGCUGGGCAAAAGUUUUUUUUUUAUCCUGAAUAUAUGAAAACCAGCCUCUGAGGUUUGUGGCAUUUAUUUACUUAGUUUUUUUAACUUUCAAAUGUCAGACAAUUUCAAAAAUACCAACAUUUAUGAGCCUGCAGGUUCCUAGUUUGUCCUUUGGUUAAAAAGCUGAUCAUUUCAAACACUAGCAUUAAGUUAUAUUAGUGCUUACCGUACAUUACUUUGUAAGUAUUUUAUAUUUCUAUUGUUUCCUUAAUUAAAACUGUUUCAAAAAAGGGCUUCCUUUCUCCGUUGUGCUAUCCCAGGCACUUUAACAUUGGGAGUUGGGUCAUCUAGACCCACUACACAGGGCCCUGAACCUUUUUUCUUCAAUGAUUUGUGAUCUUCACUGGUGUCCAUGGAUUACAUGAAAUCUUUCCACCUUUUUCAUGGUAGGGAGAACACAUCAAUGUAAGGGUGGGGUCAUCUAAGAUAGCACAAGGGUCAAUAAACACAAUUAUCAGUGUGAUGUUCUUUAUAAAGGAUCAUGAACAAACAACAGAAUCACAGCGUUUUUGAGGAUAUGACAGAUUUCUGUUCAACCAACCGAAGCCUCUCAUGUGAAUUUUAAUCACCUUUUAAUGACACUUGAACCCAAUCACCGUUUUCUUAAUUCAAUCAUUCUCAUACAGCGCAACAAUCCAACCACAACGUGUGAGCAGCAUAUAAAACACGUGAAGGAAACACAGGAAGGUUACAAACAAAGAUGGUUGUGGUGACACUGAAUCAUCGGGGGAGGCUGUGGCACACAGGAGACAAGCAUGGAAAAGACACACAACAGCAUCCUCUAGUGGGUCACGCUUCGCUGGUCAACACUUCCAACUCAAGGUUGCCUUUUUUCCAGAAACAACUAAAUCUUUGUUGGGAAUCCUUUCACUCCCCUCUGGAAACACUUAAAAUGGAUGAUCAUGACAGGCUUUCACCAGUGAUGUACUGUAUUUAUUUACUGCAACCAUCAAAGAAAUGCGUCUUUCAUUCAGGGGAGUUGCCAUUCAAGCAUCAGUUACUCAGCUGUAUCAAAGGUGUUGAACAUUUCCACUUUGAUAAUGAAAAAAAAAAAAUACAAAUUUUAAA